AACGUAGGAGGCAAGCGUUAUCCGGAGUAACUGGGCGUAAAGGGCGAGUAGGUGGUUGCGUAAGUUGGUUAUGAAAGCUCCUGGCUAAACUGGGAGAGGUUGACCAAGACUGCGCGACUUGAGUGGAGAAGAGGUAAACGGAAUUCCGCGUGUAGUGGUGAAAUGCGUAGAGAUGCGGAAGAACACCAGUGGCGAAGGCGGUUUACUGGUCUCCAACUGACACUGAACCGCGAAAGCAUGGGUAGCGAACGGGAUUAGAUACCCCAUAGUCC
RNAcentral lists this ribosomal RNA (272 nucleotides) under uncultured prokaryote. RNAcentral describes it as "partial 16S ribosomal RNA". It matches the Rfam family "Bacterial small subunit ribosomal RNA", at positions 524 to 796 of the family's 1533-position model. The record is from RNAcentral.